This 440-nucleotide ribosomal RNA is filed under the name uncultured bacterium. Its description in RNAcentral is "partial 16S ribosomal RNA". It matches the Rfam family "Bacterial small subunit ribosomal RNA", at positions 338 to 795 of the family's 1533-position model. The record is from RNAcentral.
CCUACGGGAGGCUGCAGUGGGGGAUAUUGCACAAUGGGGGAAACCCUGAUGCAGCGACGCCGCGUGGGUGAAGAAGCGCCUCGGCGCGUAAAGCCCUGUCAGCAGGGAAGAAAAUGACGGUAACUGAAGAAGAAGCCCCGGCUAACGACGUGCCAGCAGCCGCUGUGAUACGUAGGGGGCAAGCGUUAUCCGGAUUUAAUGGGUGUAAAGGGGGCGGAGACGGGGAUGCAAGCAAGGAGCGAAAGCCCGGGGCCCAAACCCGGGAUUGCUCUUGGAACUGGGUGGCUAGAGUGCAGGAGGGGCAGGCGGAAUUCCUGGUGUAGCGGUGAAAUGCGUAGAUAUCAGGAGGAACACCGGUGGCGAAGGCGGCCUGCUGGACUGCAACUGACGUUGAGGCCCGAAAGCGUGGGGAGCAAACAGGAUUAGAUACCCUAGUAGUC